CUUGACCUCGGAUCAGGUAGGGAUACCCGCUGAACUUAAGCAUAUCAAUAAGGCGGAG
RNAcentral lists this ribosomal RNA (58 nucleotides) under Helminthosporiella stilbacea. RNAcentral's name for it is "partial 28S ribosomal RNA". Lineage: Eukaryota; Fungi; Ascomycota; Dothideomycetes; Pleosporales; Massarinaceae. The record is from RNAcentral.